AACUCUUGAGCCAAUAACCAGCUUUGUUUCAAAAACCCAAUAUCAGCCAAUACUCUCCUCACCAUCUGAAACCUGAAACGAGUAUAAUGAGAGAACAAAUACUUUAAAUAAACCUCUUCUAUUUUCAAAGCAAAAACAAAAUGACCUUAGAUCCAUUGGUUCCAAACCAAACGGUCCUUCAAUGCCGCCAUCCUCACAGAUUCAGGCACUCCAUUAACCCAACUCCCGCAAAUCUUUCUUCUCCGGCCCUCCAGCGCCAGUGUGUGAGCUGCUUCAUUAACCAAUCGAGGCACAGCAAGGUAAGAUACCUUGUCCAAAUUACCAAAGUGAGGCACCAGAUUAUUCAUCAGUCUCUAAAUAUGUAUUUUAAUUUUUCCUGGAAUGUUCAACGAUCAUAAGGCUUUGUAAAAAUAUUUGUAAUCCUUAUUAAUAGAGGAUAUGUAUAUAGUGUCCUGUAAAUAUUUUGUAUUUAGGGCUCGAUACCCACUCUUAAUAGUGUAUUCCCCAGAACCUUCAUGUUUCCAAACCAACCUAUCCUUCGGACCACUUCCAGAUAUGGGAAUAGAAAGAAUUUGAUCAGCUGUACUCUUAUCAACUAAGUUAUGAACCAGCUUCCUAUUCCAGGUACUAGUCUCCGUCGUAAUUAAUUGAUUAACAGUAGUCCAAGAAGGCCUAAUCACCUGAACUGGAAUUCUAUUAUUCUCUCUUCCAGGUAACCAGGGAUCGUUCCAGAUGUUAAUGCGAUCACCUUUCCCAACC
RNAcentral lists this long non-coding RNA (759 nucleotides) under Gossypium raimondii (Peruvian cotton). RNAcentral's name for it is "long non-coding RNA (GRAI_LNC008324)". Lineage: Eukaryota; Viridiplantae; Streptophyta; Magnoliopsida; Malvales; Malvaceae. The record is from RNAcentral.